This 243-nucleotide ribosomal RNA is filed under the name uncultured bacterium. RNAcentral's name for it is "partial 16S ribosomal RNA". It matches the Rfam family "Bacterial small subunit ribosomal RNA", at positions 534 to 776 of the family's 1533-position model. The record is from RNAcentral.
GCAAGCGUUAUCCGGAAUUAUUGGGCGUAAAGCGCGCGCAGGCGGUUUCUUAAGUCUGAUGUGAAAGCCCACGGCUCAGCCGUGGAGGGUCAUUGGAAACUGGGGAACUUGAGUGCAGAAGAGAAAAGCGGAAUUCCACGUGUAGCGGUGAAAUGCGUAGAGAUGUGGAGGAACACCAGUGGCGAAGGCGGCUUUUUGGUCUGUAACUGACGCUGAGGCGCGAAAGCGUGGGGAGCAAACAGG